AGUGAUACAUCUUGGCUUCCUCUACCAGGUGUCGACAUUCAGAAGACUGGCGCACUACUGCCUGACUUUCCACACAGUCAUGCAGGAAGUAGGGGCUCAGUAGAGGCAAGCGGACAUGCUCUAACACCUGCACAUAGGGUCCUUUAGUCUCUAUCCAAGAUGCACUGCGUUCAGGUGAUAUACUUCUUGAGGAAGACAUCUGUGGUACUCUUCAGACUACAUACAGGAUAUGAAAGAUUAUUUACUUCACUGUUGGGCCAUCUCCAAAAUCAAUAUAGGAAGAAAACUGGAUUUACAAGGAGAUGGGCAGAACAGGAAACCCACUAAUUCUGGAUAAGUAUGAGAACAGAAUCAGUUUCAGGAGCAGCUUCUUCAACAGAAUAAUCACCAGUAGACCAAUUACUAGUCUUGAGGAACACCAAACUCAGCCCAAGGCUUUGGUCCUGACCGCGCAGGCAGUAUGUUCCUCUGAAAUGUUACCAACAUAGCCCACUCCCAUUU
Non-coding RNA from Zootermopsis nevadensis, 501 nucleotides. The record is from RefSeq and is a predicted model, not a curated record. NCBI's taxonomy places the organism in Eukaryota, Metazoa, Arthropoda, Insecta, Blattodea, Termopsidae.